CCCUUAGAUGUUCUGGGCUGCACGCGCGCUACACUGACAUACUCAGCAAGUUUCCUUGCCUGAAAGGGUUGGGUAAUCUUGUUAGUGUAUGUCGUGAUGGGGAUAGAAUAUUGUAAUUAUUGCUCUUUAACGAGGAAUUCCUAGUAAGCGUAAGUCAUCAGCUUGCGUUGAUUACGUCCCUGCCCUUUGUACACACCGCCCGUCGCUCCUACCGAUUGGGUGAUCCGGUGAAUGAUUCGGACUCUGGCUAUGCUAGCUACUAGCUACGUCAGGGAAAGUUUUGUGAACCUUAUCACUUGGAGGAAGGAGAAGUCGUAACA
This 320-nucleotide ribosomal RNA is filed under the name uncultured eukaryote. Its description in RNAcentral is "partial 18S ribosomal RNA". It matches the Rfam family "Eukaryotic small subunit ribosomal RNA", at positions 1470 to 1796 of the family's 1831-position model. The record is from RNAcentral.